CUACGGGAGGCAGCAGUGGGGAAUCUUGCGCAAUGGGCGAAAGCCUGAUCCAGCCAUGCCGCGUGAGUGAUGAAGGCCUUAGGGUUGUAAAGCUCUUUCGGCGGGGAAGAUAAUGACGGUACCCGCAGAAGAAGCCCCGGCUAACUUCGUGCCAGCAGCCGCGGUAAUACGAAGGGGGUUAGCGUUGCUCGGAAUCACUGGGCGUAAAGCGCACGUAGGCGGACUAUUAAGUCAGGGGUGAAAUCCCGGGGCUCAACCCCGGAACUGCCUUUGAUACUGGUAGUCUCGAGUCCGGAAGAGGUGAGUGGAAUUCCGAGUGUAGAGGUGAAAUUCGUAGAUAUUCGGAGGAACACCAGUGGCGAAGGCGGCUCACUGGUCCGGUACUGACGCUGAGGUGCGAAAGCGUGGGGAGCAAACAGGAUUAGAAACCCGGGUAGUCC
Molecule: ribosomal RNA, 440 nt
Filed under: uncultured bacterium
Lineage: Bacteria
Description: bacterial SSU rRNA
Rfam family: Bacterial small subunit ribosomal RNA
Source: RNAcentral